RNAcentral lists this ribosomal RNA (954 nucleotides) under uncultured archaeon. RNAcentral describes it as "bacterial SSU rRNA". It matches the Rfam family "Archaeal small subunit ribosomal RNA", at positions 1 to 932 of the family's 1478-position model. The record is from RNAcentral.
UUCCGGUUGAUCCCGCCGGACCCUACUGCUAUCGGAGUGGGACUAAAACAUGCGAGUCGAGCGUCUCCAAGCCAUGGAGGAGGCGCGGCAUACGGCUCAGUAACACGUGGCCAACCUAACCUCGGGACAGAGACAACCCCGGGAAACUGGGGCUAAUCCCUGAUAGACGAGAACUCCUGGAACGGAUUCUCGUCCAAAAGGCGCCUAAACCACGCUUUAAGCGCCGCCCAAGGAUGGGGCCGCGUCCGAUCAGGUAGUUGGUGAGGCAAAGGCUCACCAAGCCAAUAACCGGUACGGGCCGUGGGAGCGGGAGCCCGGAGAUGGGCACUGAGACAAGGGCCCAGGCCCUACGGGGCGCAGCAGUUGCGAAAACUCCGCAAUGCACGAAAGUGUGACGGGGCUACCCCGAGUGCCGUCCGCUGAGGACGGCUUUUCCCUAGUGUAAGGAGCUGGGGGAAUAAGGAGAGGGCAAGUCUGGUGUCAGCCGCCGCGGUAAUACCAGCUCUCCUAGUGGUAGGGACAAUUAUUGGGCUUAAAGCGUCCGUAGCCAGCCCCUCAAGUCUCUCGUUAAAUCCAACGAUUCAAUCGCUGGACUGCGGGAGAUACUGUAGGGCUAGGGGGCGGGAGAAGCCGACGGUAUUCUUGGGGUAGGGGUAAAAUCCUAUAAUCCCGGGAAGACCACCAGUGGCGUAGGCGGUCGGCUAGCACGCGCCCGACGGUGAGGGACGAAAGCUGGGGGAGCGAACCGGAUUAGAUACCCGGGUAGUCCCAGCCGUAAACGAUGCGGGCUAGGUGUUGGAGCGGCUACGAGCCGCUUCAGUGCCGCAGGGAAGCCAUUAAGCCCGCCGCCUGGGGAGUACGGCCGCAAGGCUGAAACUUAAAGGAAUUGGCGGGGGAGCACCACAAGGGGUGAAGCUUGCGGUUUAAUUGGAGUCAACGCCGGGAAGGGCGAAU